RNAcentral lists this microRNA (22 nucleotides) under Pristionchus pacificus. RNAcentral's name for it is "ppc-miR-2236a". Lineage: Eukaryota; Metazoa; Nematoda; Chromadorea; Rhabditida; Neodiplogasteridae. The record is from miRBase by way of RNAcentral.
UACCUGAGGUGGAUUAUUCACU